AGGCUUGUAGCUUAGGUGGUUACACCGCACCCCUGAUAAGGGUGAGGUCGGUGGUUCAAGUCCACUCAGGCCUACCA
Molecule: transfer RNA, 77 nt
Filed under: Pectobacterium wasabiae
Lineage: Bacteria; Pseudomonadati; Pseudomonadota; Gammaproteobacteria; Enterobacterales; Pectobacteriaceae
Description: tRNA-Ile
Rfam family: tRNA
About the family: Transfer RNA (tRNA) molecules are approximately 80 nucleotides in length. Their secondary structure includes four short double-helical elements and three loops (D, anti-codon, and T loops).
Source: RNAcentral